RNAcentral lists this transfer RNA (74 nucleotides) under Strongylocentrotus purpuratus (purple sea urchin). RNAcentral describes it as "tRNA-Asn (GTT) (tRNA-Asn-GTT-8-1)". It matches the Rfam family "tRNA". Rfam says of the family: Transfer RNA (tRNA) molecules are approximately 80 nucleotides in length. Their secondary structure includes four short double-helical elements and three loops (D, anti-codon, and T loops). The record is from RNAcentral. Lineage: Eukaryota; Metazoa; Echinodermata; Echinoidea; Camarodonta; Strongylocentrotidae.
GCUUCUGUGGAGCAAAUGGUUAGCGCGUUCGGCUGUUAACCGAAAGGUUGGUGGUUCAAGCCCACCCAGGAGCG